RNAcentral lists this ribosomal RNA (489 nucleotides) under uncultured bacterium. RNAcentral's name for it is "bacterial SSU rRNA". It matches the Rfam family "Bacterial small subunit ribosomal RNA", at positions 1 to 507 of the family's 1533-position model. The record is from RNAcentral.
ACGUAGUUGAUCCGUGGCUCAGGACGAACGCUGGCGGCGCGCCUAACACAUGCAAGUCGAACGAGCGAGAGAGAGUUUACUUUUUCGAGCGAGUGGCGAACGGGUGAGUAACGCGUGAGGAACCUGCCUCAAAGAGGGGGACAACAGUUGGAAAACGACUGCUAAUACCGCAUAAGCCCACGGCUCGGCAUCGAGCAGAGGGAAAAGGAGCAAUCCGCUUUGAGAUGGCCUCGCGUCCGAUUAGCUAGUUGGUGAGGUAAUGGCCCACCAAGGCGACGAUCGGUAGCCGGACUGAGAGGUUGAACGGCCACAUUGGGACUGAGACACGGCCCAGACUCCUACGGGAGGCAGCAGUGGGGAAUAUUGCACAAUGGGGGAAACCCUGAUGCAGCGACGCCGCGUGGAGGAAGAAGGUCUUCGGAUUGUAAACUCCUGUUGUUGAGGAAGAUAAUGACGGUACUCAACAAGGAAGUGACGGCUAACUACGUG